GUCUACAGCCAUACCACCCUGAACGCGUCCAAUCUCAUCUGAUCUCGGAAGCUAAGCAGGGUCGGGCCUGGGUAGUACUUGGAUGGGAGAACUACAAGGAGAAACAGACAAAUCCAGAAU
Molecule: ribosomal RNA, 120 nt
Filed under: Saimiri boliviensis boliviensis (Bolivian squirrel monkey)
Lineage: Eukaryota; Metazoa; Chordata; Mammalia; Primates; Cebidae
Source: RNAcentral